GCAAGUCGAGCGGACCGACGGGAGCUUGCUCCCUUAGGUCAGCGGCGGCACUGGUGAGUAACACGUGGGUAACCUGCCUGUAAGACUGGGAUCACUCCGGGAAACCGGGGCUAAUACCGGAUGCUUGAUUGAACCGCAUGGUUCAAUCAUAAAAGGCGGCUUCGGCUGCCGUUUACAGAUGGACCCGCGGCGCAUUAGCUAGUUGGUGAGGUAACGGCUCACCAAGGCGACGAUGCGUAGCCGACCUGAGAGGGUGAUCGGCCACACUGGGACUGAGACACGGCCCAGACUCCUACGGGAGGCAGCAGUAGGGAAUCUUCCGCAAUGGACGAAAGUCUGACGGAGCAACGCCGCGUGAGUGAUGAAGGUUUUCGGAUCGUAAAGCUCUGUUGUUAGGGAAGAACAAGUACCGUUCGAAUAGGGCGGUACCUUGACGGUACCUAACCAGAAAGCCACGGCUAACUACGUGCCAGCAGCCGCGGUAAUACGUAUGUGGCAAGCGUUGUCCGGAAUUAUUGCGCGUAGAGCGCGCGCAGGCGGUUUCUUAACUCUGAUGUGAAAGCCCCCGGCUC
This 572-nucleotide ribosomal RNA is filed under the name Bacillus sp. CSu2_7. RNAcentral's name for it is "bacterial SSU rRNA". It matches the Rfam family "Bacterial small subunit ribosomal RNA", at positions 57 to 610 of the family's 1533-position model. The record is from RNAcentral. Lineage: Bacteria; Bacillati; Bacillota; Bacilli; Caryophanales; Bacillaceae.